Molecule: long non-coding RNA, 339 nt
Organism: Galeopterus variegatus (Sunda flying lemur)
Lineage: Eukaryota; Metazoa; Chordata; Mammalia; Dermoptera; Cynocephalidae
Exons: 3
Source: RefSeq, a predicted model, not a curated record
GCUGGGAAGACAAGAGUCAACAAGACAGACAUGUGUCAGCCCCCAUGGAUAUAACACAGUAAACCAAUAGAACAAUUUCAAAUCAUUGCACAUCCUCUCCAGAUGAAACAACCAAUAUUUGCCUUUGGGGAGGUGCCACUUCAGUCAAAAUGGCCAACAGGCUCUGCGAGAAACCAAGGUCUACGUCAACCAAAUGUGGAGAAAACUUGGAGCUCUGCUGUAGGUGUGGGAGUUAACGAUGAAUGCUUCAGCACUUUCCUAGCCAUGCAUAAACAUCGACAUGGAAAACAGCAAGGAGUGCUCUGUUUAUCACAGCUGCAGUCAAGCCAAGGCAACUGU